RNAcentral lists this ribosomal RNA (397 nucleotides) under uncultured bacterium. RNAcentral's name for it is "bacterial SSU rRNA". It matches the Rfam family "Bacterial small subunit ribosomal RNA", at positions 393 to 780 of the family's 1533-position model. The record is from RNAcentral.
CAUGCCGCGUGUGUGAAGAAGGCCUUAGGGUUGUAAAGCUCUUUCAGCGAGGAGGAAGCUACUGAAGUUAAUACCUUCUGAUAGUGAACGUUCCUCGCAAAAAAGCCACCGGCUAACUCUGUGCCACCAGCCGCGGUAAUACAAAGGGGGCAAGCGUUAAUCGAAUUUACGGGGCGUAAAGCGGGCGUAGGCGGCUAAUUAAGUCAAAUGUGAAAUCCCCGACCUUAACUUGGGAAUUGCAUUCGAUACUGGUUAGCUGGAGUGUGGGAAAGGAUGUUAAAAUUCCGGGUGUAGCGGUAAAAUGCUUAAAGAUCUGAAGGAAUACCAAUGGCAAAGGCAGCCCUCUGGCCUAACCCUGACCCUAAGGUGCGAAAGAGGGGGGGAGCAAACAGGAUAA